This 395-nucleotide ribosomal RNA is filed under the name Bunopus tuberculatus. RNAcentral's name for it is "partial 12S ribosomal RNA". It matches the Rfam family "Bacterial small subunit ribosomal RNA", at positions 794 to 1384 of the family's 1533-position model. Lineage: Eukaryota; Metazoa; Chordata; Lepidosauria; Squamata; Gekkonidae. The record is from RNAcentral.
GCUCUGCCGUUAAACUAGAUAGCCCCACAACCAACUAUCCGCCAAAGAACUACGAGCGAAAAGCUUAAAACUUAAAGGACUUGACGGUGUCCCAUAUCAGCCUAGAGGAGCCUGUCCUAUAAUCGAUGAUCCACGCUCUACCUCACCUACCAUUGCACAACCCCAGCCUAUAUACCGCCGUCUCCAGCCUACCUAAUGAUAGACGCCCAGUCAGGCAAAAUUCAGCCACAACGCUAGCACGUCAGGUCAAGGUGUAGCUAAUGGGUAGGAAGAGAUGGGCUACAUUUUCUAACACUAGAACACCACUGAAGGCACAAUGAAAACCAAGCCUAAAGGCGGAUUUAGCAGUAAGGUCGGACCAGAGAUGUCCAACUGAAGAAUGCCCUGGGACGCGU